UUUAUACAUUUUCUACAGAAAAUGCACCCCAUCAUUGCCUAUAGCCCACCCACGUGGACUGCCCAUUCUGUGAAUCAUGUUUUACAGAAAUUGCCUUGACGUUAGGAAUUAAAAAAACAAAACAAAACAAAACAAAAAACAUGAAGCUGUAUUCUCCAGAAGCUUCUGAUUUAAGGAGAUAGCAAUAGGAAGCCAAAAGGUCCCUGCAGAGGAGGGUUGCAGCAUGAUAACUCUACUGCUGGACAGAGACAGAUUGCAGGGGAGCAAGAAUGAAUGGCAGGCCAGCUGCCAGAAGCUUCUCACUCCUUGGAGACCUUGGAGUCGAGGAUGAAAUGUUUUACAACUGUGGGGAGACCUAGGCUUUUCCAAAGCCCAUCAGGAUCCAACCCUAUAUUCUGCAACUAUGCUGGCAGAUUUAGGAGGUGAUAGCUGCUGGGAAGAAGUUGUUAAAGAGGGAACUCAGAGCCCCCAUGCUCCAUCCUCAACCACUGGCUGACAGGGAAGGACUCCAAGCAGACAGCGGGUGAUACUGAUGCUACUGGUCUUUGAGAACUGCUGACUUACAGUGUAUGGACAGGUAAAUAGAGUUCAUUCUCCAGCCACCUCUGAUCUACCAAAGAAAGUGCAGGCUCCUGUAGCAUGUAAAGGAGGACUUGGAAGCUAAGGCCCAGAGAGGAGGAGAAACUUGAUCAAAGUCAAUCAGACAAUGCAGAAUCGAGAAAAGUACCUGGACUUCUAUGCCCAUGCUUCUAGCAGCCAGCCUCCUAAAAUACCUCUAGUUGAAGCCAAAGUUAGAAUCCUUCUAUGAAACUACAGGAUUAAAAUGGGAUGGUUACAUGACCCAGGCUUGACCAAUCAGAUCAUCCAAACCCUUUGCCACAGUGAUUGGUCCAGGGAUACAUGCAUGAGCCAGCUCAGGUAAAUGAGGCUCAAUUAUGAGAAUUUUGUUAGCGCAAUUGGGGAAAAAAAGUUUUCUUUCCAUGAGAACUAUCAGCUAUAAGAAUGUUGGAUGUUUCCAUCUGCUGGAGUCCAUGAAGA
This 1038-nucleotide non-coding RNA is filed under the name Pongo abelii (Sumatran orangutan). The record is from RNAcentral. Lineage: Eukaryota; Metazoa; Chordata; Mammalia; Primates; Hominidae.